RNAcentral lists this ribosomal RNA (388 nucleotides) under uncultured bacterium. RNAcentral describes it as "bacterial SSU rRNA". It matches the Rfam family "Bacterial small subunit ribosomal RNA", at positions 28 to 416 of the family's 1533-position model. The record is from RNAcentral.
GACGAACGCUGGCGGCGUGCUUAACACAUGCAAGUCGAGCGGUAAGGCCCUUUCGGGGGUACACGAGCGGCGAACGGGUGAGUAACACGUGGGUGACCUGCCCUCAGCUCUGGGAUAAGCCUGGGAAACCGGGUCUAAUACCGGAUAUGACUCCAUGACGCAUGUUGUGGGGUGGAAAGCCUUGUGCGGCUGAGGAUGGGCCCGCGGCCUAUCAGCUUGUUGGUGGGGUGAUGGCCUACCAAGGCGACGACGGGCAGCCGGCCUGAGAGGGCGACCGGCCACACUGGGACUGAGACACGGCCCAGACUCCUACGGGAGGCAGCAGUGGGGAAUCUUGCGCAAUGGGACGAAAGCCUGACGCAGCGACGCCGCGUGAGGGAUGACGGCC